GUGACUGUAGCUCAGUUGGUUUAGAGCGCUCCCCUGUGGAGGGAGAGGCCGCGGGUUCAAGUCCCGUCAGU
RNAcentral lists this transfer RNA (71 nucleotides) under Candidatus Shapirobacteria bacterium CG10_big_fil_rev_8_21_14_0_10_36_6. Its description in RNAcentral is "tRNA-His". It matches the Rfam family "tRNA". From Rfam's summary of the family: Transfer RNA (tRNA) molecules are approximately 80 nucleotides in length. The record is from RNAcentral. Lineage: Bacteria; Candidatus Shapironibacteriota.